RNAcentral lists this ribosomal RNA (271 nucleotides) under uncultured bacterium. RNAcentral describes it as "partial 16S ribosomal RNA". It matches the Rfam family "Bacterial small subunit ribosomal RNA", at positions 524 to 794 of the family's 1533-position model. The record is from RNAcentral.
UACGGAGGGUGCAAGCGUUGUCCGGAUUUAUUGGGUUUAAAGGGUGCGUAGGCGGCUUAUUAAGUCAGGGGUGAAAGACUGCAGCUCAACUGUAGCAGUGCCUUUGAUACUGAUGAGCUUGAGUACAGAUGAGGCUGGCGGAAUGGGUGGUGUAGCGGUGAAAUGCAUAGAUACCAUCCAGAACACCGAUUGCGAAGGCCGCCGGCUAAACUGUAACUGACGCUGAGGCACGAAAGCGUGGGGAUCGAACAGGAUUAGAAACCCUUGUAGU